CUUCAUCCUGCCUGGCAGGGCACCCUUUGAGGAAUGCCGCACAUGCUGGCUGUCAGCCCCGGGCAUCUUCCAAAGGCUACUCGGAUCCUGAUUCUUUCUUUAGGAUAGAGCCCUAGAAUGCAUACUAUUGGAUCAGCCUUCAAACUUGGUAAGAACUCU
Molecule: long non-coding RNA, 159 nt
Filed under: Mustela putorius furo (domestic ferret)
Lineage: Eukaryota; Metazoa; Chordata; Mammalia; Carnivora; Mustelidae
Description: lncRNA (ENSMPUG00000027375.1)
Source: RNAcentral